UUCAACGGAGAGUUUGAUUAUGGCUCAGGACGAACGCUGGCGGCGUGCUUAACACAUGCAAGUCGAACGAUGAAGCCUAGCUUGCUAGGUGGAUUAGUGGCGAACGGGUGAGUAAUACGUGAGUAACCUACCUUUAACUCUGGGAUAAGCCUGGGAAACUGGGUCUAAUACCGGAUACGACCAAUCUCCGCAUGGGGUGUUGGUGGAAAGCGUUAUGUAGUGGUUAUAGAUGGGCUCACGGCCUAUCAGCUUGUUGGUGAGGUAACGGCUCACCAAGGCGACGACGGGUAGCCGGCCUGAGAGGGUGACCGGCCACACUGGGACUGAGACACGGCCCAGACUCCUACGGGAGGCAGCAGUGGGGAAUAU
This 369-nucleotide ribosomal RNA is filed under the name Rothia mucilaginosa. Its description in RNAcentral is "bacterial SSU rRNA". It matches the Rfam family "Bacterial small subunit ribosomal RNA", at positions 1 to 364 of the family's 1533-position model. The record is from RNAcentral. Lineage: Bacteria; Bacillati; Actinomycetota; Actinomycetes; Micrococcales; Micrococcaceae.